GACCUCGGGCCUAAAUUAUAUUCCUUUAUAGUCAGGCUUCAGGCCGGUCUUAUCUAAAAUUUGAUACUUUCAGUGCAGAAUGUGGCCAUGAUCAACUCUAGCUCGGACUGCACCACUUGCAGAUUGCACUUGAAGAUCGAGUAGUUGGGGCUGAACUGCUAGCUAUCAGUUCAAACCCGGCCAUACUUGCAGCAAGAAUAAAAAUGGAGGGAGAG
This 215-nucleotide long non-coding RNA is filed under the name Elaeis guineensis (African oil palm). RNAcentral describes it as "long non-coding RNA (EGUI_LNC004299)". The record is from RNAcentral. Lineage: Eukaryota; Viridiplantae; Streptophyta; Magnoliopsida; Arecales; Arecaceae.